AAAAGCUCAAAUUUGAAAUCUAGUACCUUCGGUGCUCGAGUUGUAAUUUGAAGAUAGUUUUCUGGUGCUGGCCCUUGUCUAUGUUCCUUGGAACAGGACGUCAUAGAGGGUGAGAAUCCCGUCUGAUGGGGUGUCCAGUGCUUUGUAGAUUUCUAUCGAAGAGUCGAGUUGUUUGGGAAUGCAGCUCUAAGUGGGUGGUAAAUUCCAUCUAAAGCUAAAUACUGGCGAGAGACCGAUAGCGAACAAGUACAGUGAUGGAAAGAUGAAAAGAACUUUGAAAAGAGAGUGAAAAAGUACGUGAAAUUGUUGAAAGGGAAGGGUAUUGGAUCAGACUUGGUGUUUUGUGAUUAUCUUCCCUUCUUGGGUUGUGCACUCGCAUUUCACUGGGCCAGCAUCGGUUCGGAUGGCAAGAUAAUGGCUUGGGAACGUGGCACUCUUCGGAGUGUGUUAUAUCCCUUGUUGAUGUUGCCUAUCUGGACCGAGGACUGCGGCUUCUGCCUAGGAUGCUGGCGUAAUGAUUCAAUACC
RNAcentral lists this ribosomal RNA (527 nucleotides) under Petasospora americana. RNAcentral describes it as "eukaryotic LSU rRNA". It matches the Rfam family "Eukaryotic large subunit ribosomal RNA", at positions 103 to 646 of the family's 3401-position model. The record is from RNAcentral. Lineage: Eukaryota; Fungi; Ascomycota; Saccharomycetes; Phaffomycetales; Wickerhamomycetaceae.